UACGGGAGGCAGCAGUGGGGAAUAUUGCACAAUGGGCGCAAGCCUGAUGCAGCCAUGCCGCGUGUAUGAAGAAGGCCUUCGGGUUGUAAAGUACUUUCAGUCGUGAGGAGGUGUUAAGGUUAAUAACCUUAGCAAUUGACGUUAGCGACAGAAGAAGCACCGGCUAACUCCGUGCCAGCAGCCGCGGUAAUACGGAGGGUGCGAGCGUUAAUCGGAAUUACUGGGCGUAAAGGGCACGCAGGCGGUUAAUUAAGUUGGAUGUGAAAUCCCCGGGCUUAACCUGGGAAUGGCAUUCAAGACUGGUUAGCUAGAGUCUUGUAGAGGGGGUAGAAUUCCAUGUGUAGCGGUGAAAUGCGUAGAGAUGUGGAGGAAUACCGGUGGCGAAGGCGGCCCCUGGGACAAAGGACUGACGCUCAUGUGCGAAAGCGUGGGGAGCAAACAGGGAUUAGAUACC
RNAcentral lists this ribosomal RNA (454 nucleotides) under uncultured bacterium. Its description in RNAcentral is "bacterial SSU rRNA". It matches the Rfam family "Bacterial small subunit ribosomal RNA", at positions 340 to 786 of the family's 1533-position model. The record is from RNAcentral.